ACCGUGUACGUACAAGCAGUGGGAGCAUGAGUUUACUCAUGUGACUGCGUACCUUUUGUAUAAUGGGUCAGCGACUUAUAUUCUGUAGCAAGGUUAACCGCAUAGGGGAGCCGAAGGGAAACCGAGUCUUAAUUGGGCGUUAAGUUGCAGGGUAUAGACCCGAAACCCGGUGAUCUAGCCAUGGGCAGGUUGAAGGUUGGGUAACACUAACUGGAGGACCGAACCGACUAAUGUUGAAAAAUUAGCGGAUGACCUGUGGCUGGGGGUGAAAGGCCAAUCAAACCGGGAGAUAGCUGGUUCUCCCCGAAAGCUAUUUAGGUAGCGCCUCGUGAAUUCAUCUCCGGGGGUAGAGCACUGUUUCGGCUAGGGGGCCAUCCCGGCUUACCAACCCGAUGCAAACUGCGAAUACCGGAGAAUGUUAUCACGGGAGACACACGGCGGGUGCUAACGUCCGUCGUGAAGAGGGAAACAACCCAGACCGCCAGCUAAGGUCCCAAAGUCAUGGUUAAGUGGGAAACGAUGUGGGAAGGCCCAGACAGCCAGGAUGUUGGCUUAGAAGCAGCCAUCAUUUAAAGAAAGCGUAAUAGCUCACUGGUCGAGUCGGCCUGCGCGGAAGAUGUAACGGGGCUAAACCAU
This 636-nucleotide ribosomal RNA is filed under the name Salmonella enterica subsp. salamae. RNAcentral describes it as "partial 23S ribosomal RNA". It matches the Rfam family "Bacterial large subunit ribosomal RNA", at positions 555 to 1190 of the family's 2925-position model. Lineage: Bacteria; Pseudomonadati; Pseudomonadota; Gammaproteobacteria; Enterobacterales; Enterobacteriaceae. The record is from RNAcentral.